This is a long non-coding RNA of Helianthus annuus (common sunflower), 2447 nucleotides long. RefSeq lists it as uncharacterized. Lineage: Eukaryota; Viridiplantae; Streptophyta; Magnoliopsida; Asterales; Asteraceae. The record is from RefSeq and is a predicted model, not a curated record. The transcript has 6 exons.
ACGAUUAAUCCGAAGAAAACACAUUUCAAUCCUACAUCUAAGGGUUUCAGCCAAAUCGCCUCUCUCUAAGAAACCUAAUCGACCUCUGUAGUUGAUUUGCAUUUAAUCUCAUCAUUACUUCACUUCAUCUUCCUUCUCUGUGUUCAAUUCUCAUUAUAUCCCCAAGGCCCAAACAAAAGUCUUAGUUAGCAGACAGAAGCUACAAUGAGAAGAAGGUGCUGUCUUCAUCCUUUCAAAUUCCCAUCAUCAGCCCUUUAAUUUGGGAUUGAAGAUUCAUUUUAAGACGCUACAGGGUCAUUCUACUAUGACGAUGGUUGUUCGAUUAGGCACCUGAAGGUCAGCACACAUGUAUGGUUAGGGUUCAGCGGUGGUUGACAGUCUUCUACGAACAGCAAGGGGGUAGGGUUCUGACGAGUCGAACUUGACACGACGAUGGCAAUGGGUGUUGAAUGAUGAGAAAGGUUUAUUAUGCCACCAACUGCUUGAUGAAAUGUGUCAUCCACCUUUGCUGCAAUUGAAUGGCUUACUUAUGCCCACCAACUGCUCGAUGAAAUGUGUCAUCCACCUUUGCUGCAAUUUGUAUGUGCAGAUAUGUAAUUAUAUCAGCAGGUAUUGUCUUUUUAGUGAUGAUUCCAACCUAUUUCAAAGGUUGUUGAAACAUAUCAACCGGGUGUGAUCGUUCUCCAAUGCGGAGCAGAUUCGCUGGGGACCGCUUAGGCUGCUUCAACCUCUCUAUAGACGGACAUGCUGAAUGUGUUAGGAUUGUAAAAAAAAUUGGUUUGCCUCUGCUGGAACGGGAGGUGGAGGAUAUACCAAAGAGAACGUUGCCCGAUGCUGGACUGUUGAAACAUGAGAGCUUUUAGAUACAGAGCAGGUAAGAUAACCCUCUUUAAGUAUCCGUAUUAAAAUGAAACGUAUACUAAGUUAAAGCUCCAUAUAUAUCUUGCUUUACAAUUUUCUCCUUUUUACGUUCCUUUUUGUAAUUUGAAUAUCAUCCGGCAGACGACAAGCUGACACUGGAAACGACACAUUGUACAUUGAUGGCGUUUUACCAGUGGUCUUUUAUUGUGUAUGCAGAAUGUAAGGUUUCAAGUUUUAGCAUUGAUAAAAAUAUAAAAUAAGAGCUAUAUAUUUAUGUCAUUUUAUUGGUCAUGUGUUCUUAAUUGGGGACUAAAGUUGUCUUUCUUUGACCCGACCCGUUUCAACCUAACUCCAUUUGUCCUUUCACCCAACCCGCCCAUCUUGCCACAUGUAAUUACUAAUUAGAAUUUAAUGUCAUUAUUUUCCCGAGUCAAGUUUAAAUCUAUUUUUUCAGAUUUUUUUUUUUCAACUGGAAUGGAGUACAGGUUCAUUAAUUUGAUAGUGCAUCAUUAGUCAGGGAUGCAGAAAAUAAGGCACUUCCUUCGACUAGCAGUCUGCAUCUAUUUUACACAGUGAUGAGUUCAUUCCUUUAUUCCGGGGAAGCACUAGAGUCAAACGUUUGGCUGAUGCUGGAAUGCUUAUGGACGCGUAAGAUCAAUAUAUGUUUAAGUUUCCAACCUCCGCUUCCGAAGACACACCAUCACUCAUCACCUACCACCACUCUCCUCAUCUACCCUUCCACCUUAGAAUCACCAACAUCACCUCCACGAACCUCCACCACAGUCGGACACAGGACACCGAUCACCGGGUUUCACUUAAAACUUUGAUCUUUUCUCGGUUUGUUAAAAAUGAGCUGGUGUACAUUUGCUAAGGGACAUGUAUGAGGGUGUUGUUACCUUCCAGGUACUUCAAAUUUGAGGAUAUUAACUAUUUUAGUGGUGAUGGUGGACAUAUGCAAAGGGACAUGUAUGAAUGUGUUGCUACCUUGCAGUUGCUGGUACUUCCAAUUAGAGGAAUUUAAGUACUGUUCAUAUUACAUCAUUUUUAUUGGUGAUUCUCACGACAAGGCUAUCAACAAGAUUAGUGGUGUCUUCAUGCAAUGUUUCACAUGCUUUGUUGAAUUUUGGUCAUAAACUAUCUACUUGUGAACUUGGUAGUUAAAAUGUUGUAAGCCGAUUCGAAUACCUAAAAUAUGCGUAAUCUUCGACGUAUAUGGAAGGAAGAACUCAGGAAAAGGAAUCUAAUGACCAAAGGAUUGAAAGAAAGUUGUAUGAAACUAUUCGUACUGAAUUAUAUGAGGCUAACCAAACUCAUAACAACGGUGUCUAAAAAAAAAAAAACGAUAUUGACCAGCCUGAUGAUGCAACAGUGGAGUCAAUUGUUUUAGAGAAAAUCACCAGCAUUAUGGAUGAAACCAGUGCCAAAAUGAGAUCUUGGAGAAACAUAACAAGACUGAAAAGUUGUAAAAAAUAAAAGAUAUUGUUGGGCUAUGGACUGGGGGAAUAUUAUUUUGAAUUAAGUAUGGGCCUACCAUGUUUAGUAUACUGUAAUACAAAAUUAGCUUAUGAUAAUUCGACCUUAUGGUA